UCGGAAGUUUGAAGUCAGAGCGGCCCGGCGCCGUAUUUGCCCCUACCCGAGCUCUGCACGAUGGACUGUGUCAUCCGCCACCCCCAGAGGGUUAAAGUGCCGGCCACCGUUGGUUCCGGAGUGAUUCAACUAGCUCCUUGGAAUCCAGGGUUCUGCAUCCUCUCGCGGGCUUCCGGCAGAUGGCGCUGCACCGCUGCUGUACAGGGCCUGGGCCUGGAGGUUAGCUGCUGAGCUGCCUCCUCUGGAGUCUCCCUUGCCUGGGGUGACUCUCACUUCACCACAGUUCAAGCUGACCCCAAAUACUGCCGUGGGGAUUAGGAGAUGAAUCCUUUGUGAUUUCCGGAGUGGAGUACAUGGAAAGAAUAGGUGCUAAAGGUGUGUCGGGAGAAAGGAAAAGGAAAAUGCUGGAAGGCAGUGGGAGAUGGAGUGUUCUGAAACCUUCUGGUUGGGAUCAGGCUUUCAUGACAGUAAAGCUCAAUAUGGCUCCUUACCAACUGGAUUUUUAACCUCCCUGUUUCCGCAUCUGUAACAUGGGGUCAAUAAGAGUGUACACCUCAGGUGGUGGUUGAAAUAGUCACAUUAAAUGUUUUCAGAGCUACA
Nannospalax galili (Upper Galilee mountains blind mole rat) is the source of this 600-nucleotide long non-coding RNA. RefSeq lists it as uncharacterized. Lineage: Eukaryota; Metazoa; Chordata; Mammalia; Rodentia; Spalacidae. The record is from RefSeq and is a predicted model, not a curated record. The transcript is spliced from 2 exons.